Molecule: long non-coding RNA, 543 nt
Filed under: Triticum aestivum (bread wheat)
Lineage: Eukaryota; Viridiplantae; Streptophyta; Magnoliopsida; Poales; Poaceae
Description: long non-coding RNA (TAES_LNC015943)
Source: RNAcentral
UGACCCUGACAUUGUUAGGCUUUUGCUGUUUCUUUGUUGGUUUUGUUUGUUUGUUUUUUUGUCACCCAAUCUUUUGCGACAGUACUCCAUUAUUUCUUGUAGGAUAUCAUUGUUAGGCUUAGUAGGUCUUUAGCUCCUGGAUGCAUAUGAGCACUCGAGGGUUGAGAGCAAUCUGUAAAUUUUGACAAGUACCUGCAGGCGUGUGCAUUCUGUUUACUGCAUAAGAGCAUCUUCAACAUAAAUGCAACGCGCGGCACGCUAAAUAAUUUUUACAGCGCUAAAAUAGUCAAUUUUUAGCACGCGGGAGGGCGCUUGCUUCAACAGGUGCUGCAAAAUAAGGUGCGGCGCUAUAGUUUCAGCAGACGCUGUAAAAUCCAACACACGCGAGUAAGCUGUACUACGACGCAACACAUACGAACAACGAAUAUGUCUAUGCCUAACCGGUUAGGCGCACAACUCCAAUCCCUGUCGUUGCUGCUUCAUGUGGAUGUGCAUGCGCCCUUGCAUGUGCAUGCUGCUACAUGCGGGCGUGUGCAUUCUGUU